GACGAACGCUGGCGGUGUGCUUAACACAUGCAAGUCGAACGGAAAGGCCCUGCUUUUGUGGGGUGCUCGAGUGGCGAACGGGUGAGUAACACGUGAGUAACCUGCCCUUGACUUUGGGAUAACUUCAGGAAACUGGGGCUAAUACCGGAUAGGAGCUCCUGCUGCAUGGUGGGGGUUGGAAAGUUUCGGCGGUUGGGGAUGGACCCGCGGCUUAUCAGCUUGUUGGUGGGGUAGUGGCUUACCAAGGCUUUGACGGGUAGCCGGCCUGAGAGGGUGACCGGCCACAUUGGGACUGAGAUACGGCCCAGACUCCUACGGGAGGCAGCAGUGGGGAAUAUUGCACAAUGGGCGGAAGCCUGAUGCAGCAACGCCGCGUGCGGGAUGACGGCCUUCGGGUUGUAAACCGCUUUCGCCUGUGACGAAGCGUGAGUGACGGUAAUGGGUAAAGAAGCACCGGCUAACUACGUG
RNAcentral lists this ribosomal RNA (468 nucleotides) under uncultured bacterium. RNAcentral describes it as "partial 16S ribosomal RNA". It matches the Rfam family "Bacterial small subunit ribosomal RNA", at positions 28 to 507 of the family's 1533-position model. The record is from RNAcentral.